Molecule: non-coding RNA, 608 nt
Organism: Cinara cedri
Lineage: Eukaryota; Metazoa; Arthropoda; Insecta; Hemiptera; Aphididae
Source: the annotation of a GenBank genome assembly
GUAUAUUAAUAUCAUUACGUGUUCUUUGAUCGAGAGAUAAACUAUAUGGAAUAUGUAUUCUUGGGCAGCGACCAUAUCUGUCACUGAUAAAAAUCAAAAAUUAAUAUUUAGCUUUUAAUAUAGGCGUUAUUGCGUUGUAUAGAAUUUAGGUUUUUUUUUUUUUUUCUAAUUACAACGAUACAAAAAUACACAACAAUCAGUGAAUUAUAUAAUAUAUGUAUACGUUAAAUUACGUUAUAUACGUUAUUUUUAUUUAAACAUAACACCAUAAUGAAUAGGAACGAGACACAAUAAUUAUAAAAUCAACGAUAAAACCAAUGUGGCUUGCUGAGGAUAACUGCAGAGCGCAGUAUUAAAUCGGUAUAAUAAUAUUAUUAUCAUAGAUAUAAAUACCUAAUUAGUUUUUAAGCGUCAAACGAUUUUCGCCCGAACCGUUUUAAUUGCAUGCGUCGCACGGCUAACCCUUUGUAAUGAUUUUUAAUCCGUUUACGGCGGCCAAAAAUUAUUAAAAAAAAAAAAAGGAGUAGAAUUACGAUCAGAAAUAUGUAAUAAUAGUGUAAUGUUAGGUAUCCCCGAUUGUAAGAGAUUGAUGGUGAUUGAAAGAGAUU